AAUUUUGGACCAGUCUGUUUUAUGUUGACGAUGUUUAUCAUCAUUGCCUUGCGCCGACCCUGUGAUUCUGUUCUUCCUGUUCGCGUACCGAAAUUCCCCCGGUGGUUUUGUCGGUACCACUGUGUACCUGGUGGGCAUCUCCGUGGUCAAGCCUUCCCACAGGUUAUGGGCCCAGUGUAGUGAAAGAACCGGAAAGUUUGGCUCGGAAAGUCGCGGUGUGUGCAAAUCGCUUCGUGAACAUUUAUCCUGUGUGGUGCCGGUCGGUGGGAGCCAAUCGUUUAAUUGCGCUCGUUUUUUGGCUGAAGGUCCAGCUGCUGUGUGAGAAGAACAGCUGCGACCGGGACUGUGAAGUGUUUGGUGUGGUCGUUGGAGCCGUUUGUUCGUCUGGUUUCAAAUCCAGAACGGCGUCCAGAGUGCCGGUAAGGCUGUGAUUAGACUGCACACCAUUUUGUCCCGCGGAGCCGAA
This is a long non-coding RNA of Aedes aegypti (yellow fever mosquito), 466 nucleotides long. RefSeq lists it as uncharacterized. The transcript is spliced from 2 exons. The record is from RefSeq and is a predicted model, not a curated record. NCBI's taxonomy places the organism in Eukaryota, Metazoa, Arthropoda, Insecta, Diptera, Culicidae.